RNAcentral lists this ribosomal RNA (440 nucleotides) under uncultured Pseudomonas sp. RNAcentral describes it as "bacterial SSU rRNA". It matches the Rfam family "Bacterial small subunit ribosomal RNA", at positions 358 to 790 of the family's 1533-position model. The record is from RNAcentral. Lineage: Bacteria; Pseudomonadati; Pseudomonadota; Gammaproteobacteria; Pseudomonadales; Pseudomonadaceae.
GGAAUAUUGGACAAUGGGCGAAAGCCUGAUCCAGCCAUGCCGCGUGUGUGAAGAAGGUCUUCGGAUUGUAAAGCACUUUAAGUUGGGAGGAAGGGCAUUAACCUAAUACGUUAGUGUUUUGACGUUACCGACAGAAUAAGCACCGGCUAACUCUGUGCCAGCAGCCGCGGUAAUACAGAGGGUGCAAGCGUUAAUCGGAAUUACUGGGCGUAAAGCGCGCGUAGGUGGUUUGUUAAGUUGAAUGUGAAAUCCCCGGGCUCAACCUGGGAACUGCAUCCAAAACUGGCAAGCUAGAGUAUGGUAGAGGGUAGUGGAAUUUCCUGUGUAGCGGUGAAAUGCGUAGAUAUAGGAAGGAACACCAGUGGCGAAGGCGACUACCUGGACUGAUACUGACACUGAGGUGCGAAAGCGUGGGGAGCAAACAGGAUUAGAUACCCUAG